RNAcentral lists this ribosomal RNA (472 nucleotides) under uncultured bacterium. RNAcentral describes it as "partial 16S ribosomal RNA". It matches the Rfam family "Bacterial small subunit ribosomal RNA", at positions 30 to 507 of the family's 1533-position model. The record is from RNAcentral.
AGUGAACGCUGGCGGUAGGCCUAACACAUGCAAGUCGAACGGCAGCACAGUAAGAGCUUGCUCUUACGGGUGGCGAGUGGCGGACGGGUGAGGAAUACAUCGGAAUCUACUUUUUCGUGGGGGAUAACGUAGGGAAACUUACGCUAAUACCGCAUACGACCUACGGGUGAAAGCAGGGGAUCUUCGGACUUGGCGCGUGUGGAUGGGCGGGUGGCUGAUUAGCUAGUUGGCGGGGUAGAGGCCUACCAAGGCGUUGAUGGGUAGCUGGCCUGAGAGGAUGACCGGCCACAGUGGGACUGAGAUACGGCCCAGACUCCUACGGGAGGCAGCAGGGGGGAAUAUUGCACAAUGGGCGGAAGCCUGAUGCAGCAACGCCGCGUGCGGGAUGACGGCCUUCGGGUUGUAAACCGCUUUCGCCUGUGACGAAGCGUGAGUGACGGUAAUGGGUAAAGAAGCACCGGCUAACUACGUG